GCUUACGGCCAUACCACCCUGACCACGCCCGAUCUCAUCUGAUCUUGGAAGCUAAGCAGUGUCGGGCCUGGUUAGAACUUGGAUGGGAGACCGCCUAGGAAUACCAGGUGCUGUAAGCU
Molecule: ribosomal RNA, 119 nt
Organism: Betta splendens (Siamese fighting fish)
Lineage: Eukaryota; Metazoa; Chordata; Actinopteri; Anabantiformes; Osphronemidae
Source: Ensembl